ACGUAGGGGGCAAGCGUUAUCCGGAUUUACUGGGUGUAAAGGGAGCGUAGACGGCACGGCAAGCCAGAUGUGAAAGCCCGGGGCUCAACCCCGGGACUGCAUUUGGAACUGUUGGGCUAGAGUGUCGGAGAGGCAAGUGGAAUUCCUAGUGUAGCGGUGAAAUGCGUAGAUAUUAGGAGGAACACCAGUGGCGAAGGCGGCUUGCUGGACGAUGACUGACGUUGAGGCUCGAAAGCGUGGGGAGCAAACAG
RNAcentral lists this ribosomal RNA (251 nucleotides) under uncultured bacterium. Its description in RNAcentral is "partial 16S ribosomal RNA". It matches the Rfam family "Bacterial small subunit ribosomal RNA", at positions 525 to 775 of the family's 1533-position model. The record is from RNAcentral.